This is a long non-coding RNA of Lagenorhynchus albirostris (white-beaked dolphin), 874 nucleotides long. RefSeq lists it as uncharacterized. The record is from RefSeq and is a predicted model, not a curated record. Lineage: Eukaryota; Metazoa; Chordata; Mammalia; Artiodactyla; Delphinidae. The transcript has 2 exons.
UUGCGCCCCGAGGCAGUUGGCGCCAGGUGCGGGGCGGCGGGGGAGGUGCUCGCAAGCGGGUUGCCGGCGUUCGCGCUCGGCGCGCGGUGUGUUCCGUAAGGGGCCUGAACCCGGAGAGUGUGGAGCGAGCGAAUCGAAACAAAAACCGUGGAGCCCGCGGGCUGCUGGCUUUUCCUUCAACACUACUUUUGGUGUUUUUCUUGAAACAGGAGAUAAAAAUUUCUUCCCAACCCUUUCCCCUCCGUUCAUGUGUGUGUCUGUUGUGCGUCAGGGUGUGUGUGUGUGUGUGUGAUGUGUGUGUGAUGUGCGGUGUGCGUGGUGGGGCGUGUGUGUGCUGUGUAGAGGGGCAUAUGGGGUUUGCUCUGCGUCCGGGUUACACCAAUGGGAAGGGCCCAUCGAAAGCGGAGAUGACGGUCCUGGCUCCAUCACUGCACAGCUUCGGACGAAUGGCUUCACCUUUUUGGUCCGCAGUUUGUUUAGCUGUUUCAAAGAUGUUGGACUUCCCUGGUGGCGCAGUGGUUAAGAAUCUGCCUGCCAGUGCAGGGGACAUGGGUUCGAGCCCUGGUGCAGGAAGAUCCCACAUGCCGCAGAGCAACUAAGCCCGUGCGCCACAACUACUGAGCCUGCGCUCUAGAGCCUGCAAGCCACAACUACUGAGCCCGCGUGCUGCAACUACUGAAGCCUGUGCGCCUAGAGCCUGUGCUCCACAACAAGAGAAGCCGCCGCAAUGAGAAGCCCGCACACCGCAACAAAGAGUAGCCCCCUCUCGCCACAACUAGAGAAGGCCCGCGUGCAGCAACGAAGACCCAAUGCAGCCAAAAAUAAAUAAUUUAUUUUAAAAAGUAAAAUAAAAUGCAGGAUGUCUUUCUGUUCA